CCAUCGGCCCUUUUCAGGGCCAUCAAAAAAAGAAUGGAAAAGAGUU
Molecule: non-coding RNA, 46 nt
Organism: Aedes aegypti (yellow fever mosquito)
Lineage: Eukaryota; Metazoa; Arthropoda; Insecta; Diptera; Culicidae
Source: Rfam